This 724-nucleotide ribosomal RNA is filed under the name uncultured Acidobacteriota bacterium. RNAcentral describes it as "bacterial SSU rRNA". It matches the Rfam family "Bacterial small subunit ribosomal RNA", at positions 28 to 866 of the family's 1533-position model. Lineage: Bacteria; Pseudomonadati; Acidobacteriota. The record is from RNAcentral.
GACGAACGCUGGCGGCGUGCUUCAUACAUGCAAGUCGAACGAGUGGCGAACGGGUGCGUAACACGUGAGAAACUCACCCCGCUCUGGGAUAACAGAUGGAAACAACUGCUAAUACCGGAUAGGAGAGUCUCGCGGCCUAUCAGCUAGUUGGUGAGGUAAAGGCUUACCAAGGCAUCGACGGGUAGCUGGUCUGAGAGGAUGAUCAGCCACACUGGGACUGAGACACGGCCCAGACUCCUACGGGAGGCAGCAGUAGGGAAUAUUGCGCAAUGGGCGAAAGCCUGACGCAGCAACGCCGCGUGCGGGAAGAAGGCCUUCGGGUUGUAAACCGCUUUCAGCAGGAAUGACGGUACCUGCAGAAGAAGGUGCGGCCAACUACGUGCCAGCAGCCGCGGUGACACGUAGGCGCCAAGCGUUGUCCGGAUUUAUUGGGCGUAAAGAGCUCGUAGGCGGUUCAGUAAGUCGGGUGUGAAACCUUUCGGCUCAACCGAAAGCCUGCAUCCGAUACUGCGUGACUUGAGUUCGGUAGGGGAGUGGGGAAUUCCUAGUGUAGCGGUGUAAUGCGCAGAUAUUAGGAGGAACACCGGUGGCGAAGGCGCCACUCUGGGCCGAAACUGACGCUGAGGAGCGAAAGCGUGGGUAGCAAACAGGAUUAGAUACCCUGGUAGUCCACGCCGUAAACGUUGGGCACUAGGUGUGGGCGCCGUCGCUAACGCAUUAAGUG